GAUGAACGCUGGCGGCGUGCCUAAUACAUGCAAGUCGAGCGAACAGACGAGGAGCUUGCUCCUCUGACGUUAGCGGCGGACGGGUGAGUAACACGUGGAUAACCUACCUAUAAGACUGGGAUAACUUCGGGAAACCGGAGCUAAUACCGGAUAAUAUAUUGAACCGCAUGGUUCAAUAGUGAAAGACGGUUUUGCUGUCACUUAUAGAUGGAUCCGCGCCGCAUUAGCUAGUUGGUAAGGUAACGGCUUACCAAGGCAACGAUGCGUAGCCGACCUGAGAGGGUGAUCGGCCACACCGGAACUGAGACACGGUCCAGACUCCUACGGGAGGCAGCAGUAGGGAAUCUUCCGCAAUGGGCGAAAGCCUGACGGAGCAACGCCGCGUGAGUGAUGAUGGUCUUCGGAUCGUAAAACUCUGUUAUUAGGGAAGAACAAAUGUGUAAGUAACUAUGCACGUCUUGACGGUACCUAAUCAGAAAGCCACGGCUAACUACGUG
Molecule: ribosomal RNA, 497 nt
Filed under: uncultured bacterium
Lineage: Bacteria
Description: partial 16S ribosomal RNA
Rfam family: Bacterial small subunit ribosomal RNA
Source: RNAcentral